AGAGUUUGAUCCUGGCUCAGAACGAACGCUGGCGGCGCGCCUAAUACAUGCAAGUCGAACGAGAAUGUGUAGCAAUACACAUGUACAGUGGCGAACGGGUGAGGAUUACAUGGGUAACCUACCCUCGAGUGGGGAAUAACUAGCCGAAAGGUUAGCUAAUACCGCGUACGCUACCCGGACUGCGGUUCGGGAAGGAAAGCGAUACCGUGGGUAUCGCGCUCUUGGAUGGGCUCAUGCCCUAUCAGCUUGUUGGUGAGGUAACGGCUCACCAAGGCUUCGACGGGUAGCUGAUCUGAGAGGAUGAUCAGCCACACUGGCACUGCGACACGGGCCAGACUCCUACGGGAGGCAGCAGUAAGGAAUAUUGCGCAAUGGGCGAAAGCCUGACGCAGCGACGCCGCGUGGGGGAUGAAGGUCUUCGGAUUGUAAACCCCUUUCGGGAGGGAAGAUGGGAUGGGGUAACCCAUCCGGACGGUACCUCCAGAAGCAGCCACGGCUAACUUCGUGCCAGCAGCCGCGGUAAU
RNAcentral lists this ribosomal RNA (524 nucleotides) under uncultured soil bacterium. RNAcentral describes it as "bacterial SSU rRNA". It matches the Rfam family "Bacterial small subunit ribosomal RNA", at positions 8 to 524 of the family's 1533-position model. The record is from RNAcentral.